This 465-nucleotide ribosomal RNA is filed under the name uncultured bacterium. RNAcentral describes it as "partial 16S ribosomal RNA". It matches the Rfam family "Bacterial small subunit ribosomal RNA", at positions 28 to 507 of the family's 1533-position model. The record is from RNAcentral.
GACGAACGCUGGCGGCGUGCUUAACACAUGCAAGUCGAACGGUAAGGCUCCAGCUUGCUGGGGUACACGAGUGGCGAACGGGUGAGUAACACGUGGGUGACCUGCCCUGCACUUCGGGAUAAGCCUGGGAAACUGGGUCUAAUACCGGAUAGGACCGCACCGUGAGGGUGUGGGGGAAAGUUGUUUCGGUGUGGGAUGGGCCCGCGGCCUAUCAGCUUGUUGGUGGGGUAAUGGCCUACCAAGGCGGCGACGGGUAGCCGGCCUGAGAGGGUGGACGGCCACAUUGGGACUGAGACACGGCCCAGACUCCUACGGGAGGCAGCAGUGGGGAAUAUUGCACAAUGGGCGGAAGCCUGAUGCAGCGACGCCGCGUGGGGGAUGACGGCCUUCGGGUUGUAAACUCCUUUCACCAUCGACGAAGGGUUUCUGACGGUAGAUGGAGAAGAAGCACCGGCUAACUACGUG